Molecule: ribosomal RNA, 1343 nt
Filed under: Salmonella enterica subsp. enterica serovar Montevideo
Lineage: Bacteria; Pseudomonadati; Pseudomonadota; Gammaproteobacteria; Enterobacterales; Enterobacteriaceae
Description: partial 23S ribosomal RNA
Rfam family: Bacterial large subunit ribosomal RNA
Source: RNAcentral
UCGUCACACUAUCAUUAACUGAAUCCAUAGGUUAAUGAGGCGAACCGGGGGAACUGAAACAUCUAAGUACCCCGAGGAAAAGAAAUCAACCGAGAUUCCCCCAGUAGCGGCGAGCGAACGGGGAGGAGCCCAGAGCCUGAAUCAGCAUGUGUGUUAGUGGAAGCGUCUGGAAAGGCGCGCGAUACAGGGUGACAGCCCCGUACACAAAAGCGCAUGUGCUGUGAGCUCGAUGAGUAGGGCGGGACACGUGGUAUCCUGUCUGAAUAUGGGGGGACCAUCCUCCAAGGCUAAAUACUCCUGACUGACCGAUAGUGAACCAGUACCGUGAGGGAAAGGCGAAAAGAACCCCGGCGAGGGGAGUGAAAAAGAACCUGAAACCGUGUACGUACAAGCAGUGGGAGCACAGGUUUACCUGUGUGACUGCGUACCUUUUGUAUAAUGGGUCAGCGACUUAUAUUCUGUAGCAAGGUUAACCGAAUAGGGGAGCCGGAGGGAAACCGAGUCUUAAUUGGGCGUUAAGUUGCAGGGUAUAGACCCGAAACCCGGUGAUCUAGCCAUGGGCAGGUUGAAGGUUGGGUAACACUAACUGGAGGACCGAACCGACUAAUGUUGAAAAAUUAGCGGAUGACCUGUGGCUGGGGGUGAAAGGCCAAUCAAACCGGGAGAUAGCUGGUUCUCCCCGAAAGCUAUUUAGGUAGCGCCUCGUGAAUUCAUCUCCGGGGGUAGAGCACUGUUUCGGCUAGGGGGCCAUCCCGGCUUACCAACCCGAUGCAAACUGCGAAUACCGGAGAAUGUUAUCACGGGAGACACACGGCGGGUGCUAACGUCCGUCGUGAAGAGGGAAACAACCCAGACCGCCAGCUAAGGUCCCAAAGUCAUGGUUAAGUGGGAAACGAUGUGGGAAGGCCCAGACAGCCAGGAUGUUGGCUUAGAAGCAGCCAUCAUUUAAAGAAAGCGUAAUAGCUCACUGGUCGAGUCGGCCUGCGCGGAAGAUGUAACGGGGCUAAACCAUGCACCGAAGCUGCGGCAGCGACGCUGAUGCGUUGUUGGGUAGGGGAGCGUUCUGUAAGCCUGCGAAGGUGGCCUGUGAGGGUUGCUGGAGGUAUCAGAAGUGCGAAUGCUGACAUAAGUAACGAUAAAGCGGGUGAAAAGCCCGCUCGCCGGAAGACCAAGGGUUCCUGUCCAACGUUAAUCGGGGCAGGGUGAGUCGACCCCUAAGGCGAGGCCGAAAGGCGUAGUCGAUGGGAAACGGGUUAAUAUUCCCGUACUUGGUGUUACUGCGAAGGGGGGACGGAGAAGGCUAUGUUGGCCGGGCGACGGUUGUCCCGGUUUAAGCGUGUAGG